Molecule: non-coding RNA, 49 nt
Filed under: Trichobilharzia regenti
Lineage: Eukaryota; Metazoa; Platyhelminthes; Trematoda; Strigeidida; Schistosomatidae
Source: RNAcentral
AUCCAACUGACGAUUCCCAAAUAAGACGAAAUGCGAAUCCUUACUGGAU